Molecule: transfer RNA, 84 nt
Filed under: Candidatus Dojkabacteria bacterium
Lineage: Bacteria
Description: tRNA-Leu
Rfam family: tRNA
About the family: Transfer RNA (tRNA) molecules are approximately 80 nucleotides in length. Their secondary structure includes four short double-helical elements and three loops (D, anti-codon, and T loops). Further hydrogen bonds mediate the characteristic L-shaped molecular structure. tRNAs have two regions of fundamental functional importance: the anti-codon, which is responsible for specific mRNA codon recognition, and the 3' end, to which the tRNAs corresponding amino acid is attached (by aminoacyl-tRNA synthetases). tRNAs cope with the degeneracy of the genetic code in two manners: having more than one tRNA (with a specific anti-codon) for a particular amino acid; and 'wobble' base-pairing, i.e. permitting non-standard base-pairing at the 3rd anti-codon position.
Source: RNAcentral
GCUGACGUGGCGGAAUCGGUAGACGCGCUAGCUUGAGGGGCUAGUGGGAGAAAUCCUGUGGAGGUUCAAAUCCUCUCGUCAGCA